GACCCGGUCGCGGAUGGUCCGCGCCCGUGAUUCGUACAAAAAUGUUCUCGUAUAUACGGGAGACGCUCGUUCGAUUCGAGCCCGGGCCA
This is a non-coding RNA of Mycena epipterygia, 89 nucleotides long. The record is from the annotation of a GenBank genome assembly. NCBI's taxonomy places the organism in Eukaryota, Fungi, Basidiomycota, Agaricomycetes, Agaricales, Mycenaceae.